This 253-nucleotide ribosomal RNA is filed under the name uncultured bacterium. Its description in RNAcentral is "partial 16S ribosomal RNA". It matches the Rfam family "Bacterial small subunit ribosomal RNA", at positions 524 to 776 of the family's 1533-position model. The record is from RNAcentral.
UACGUAGGCAGCAAGCGUUGUUCGGAAUUACUGGGCGUAAAGAGCGCGCAGGCGGUCGUUCAAGUCGCGUGUGAAAGCCCCCGGCUCAACUGGGGAGGGUCACGCGAUACUGAUCGACUCGAAGGCAGGAGAGGGUAGUGGAAUUCCCGGUGUAGUGGUGAAAUGCGUAGAUAUCGGGAGGAACACCAGUGGCGAAGGCGACUACCUGGCCUGUUCUUGACGCUGAGGCGCGAAAGCUAGGGGAGCAAACGGG